This is a non-coding RNA of Podarcis lilfordi (Lilford's wall lizard), 1874 nucleotides long. The record is from the annotation of a GenBank genome assembly. Lineage: Eukaryota; Metazoa; Chordata; Lepidosauria; Squamata; Lacertidae.
UGCUCUCCACGAGGGGGGAAGUGGCUCCCAACUAUCAAUGCGACAGUCGGGACAAGCUGUUCUCCAUCAUCGGGGGUCUCAGCUCCAAAUCAUCAAUGCAGAUGGCAUACCUCUUUGGCAUCUUGAAGAUUCCACAGGUAAGAGAAUUUGUCUGGGGACCCGGGUAGCGCUGUGGUCUAAACCUCUGAGCCUAGGGCUUGCUGAUCAGAAGGUUGGCAGUUCAAAUCCCCGCGACGGGGUGAGCUCCCGUUGUUCGGUCCCUGCUCUUGCCAGCCUACCAGUUUGAAAGCACAGCAAAGUGCGGUUAAUGGGCUAAAUUGACGGGAAUAAGGACUGACAAAACCCGGAACCAGGAGGAAGGGACGCUGGAUGAAGAUUGGAUCUGUUUAUACCUCUUUUUUCUACCAUUAGAACUGUUUUAUAAAAUUGAUGAAUGAUAGAAAAAUGUUGGAAUGAAAUUACUUGGCUUUAGUAAAGAUGUUUAAAGAAUUAUGAAAGAAUAUUAUGAUUAUGAGAAGUUGGUAAGGAUAAGAUUUAAGUUUUAAGUUUUAAGGUUUAUUCUAUUAUAGGAAGAUAAGGUCAAGGAUUUGCUGGGAUAAUUAAUAACUAGGAUACAAAGAAAGGGAGGAGGAGGAGGUCUAAGAAAGAAGGUAAUGACAGUUAAGGAUUUGAAAAUAAUGAAUUUGCUUUUAAAUGUUUUUAAAGUUUUGUGAUUUUUGCAUUCUUCUUUUUUUCUUUUUUUCUGUCAUUUUUUCUCAUUUGGAAUUUUUUCUUAUAUGGUGGGAAGGGGUUGGGGUUUUUUUUCUAUUUUGUCAAUUAUUUUUAUUCUUUGUACUCUCUUCUGCUUCUAUUUAAUUUUUUUUCUUCUUUGUAACAUUCUGAAAAUCUCAAUAAAUAUCUUUAACAAAAACAAAAAACGAAAGCACAGCAAAGUGCAAGUAGAUAAAUAGGUACCACUCCGGCGGGAAGGUAAAUAUAUAUAGAAUAUAGAUAUAUAUGAAUAUCUAUAUUCAUAUAGUAUACAGUAUGCUGUCUAUUACUAUGCUCUGUAUUAUGUUCUUAACAUAAUGCUCCAUAAAAUAUAUUAUUAAUGUGGUACACUGCCCUGUAAUCUUUUGAUAAACAGCAGUAUAUAAAUCAAAUAAUUAACAAUAAUAACAGAAAUCAAAAGAAGUGGAUUACCAAUGUAGGAGCAAAUGGUUCAUGAAACUGGCAAAAUUAGCUGCCAAACUAUGAGGGCAUAAUGACGAAGUGUUUAAGGAAGAAGGGAGACCACUGACUGACAAUCUAUCAAAUUAUCACCCAUAUACGUAGUCACGGGCAGGAUUUGAAAUAUAAGCAGUGGAUUACUGAAAGGUUUAAUGGUGGUGGGGUUUAGAUAAUAAAAAUGUAUGCAUUAUAAAACAGCUAAUAAAAAGGAGUAAAAAAAGCAAACAUCAGGAAGGGAUGGGAAGUCAAGAAGAGACUUUGGAUGUUAAAAAAGAUAGUAUAUGAUGAUAAAUUCUUUGAAACAUUUCUGGAGACUUAAUAAAAAUGUUAUUUGGGGGGACCCCAAUAAUAAAAUUACUCCGGUUUUGAGAGAACUGUGCUGGUUGCCUGUUCACAUCUAAGUCCAAUUCAGUUUGGAGCCUGACCUGGGAAACAAAUGCAUGAAGGUACUUCAAGUAAUUUUCUCUCUCUCCUGCACAGCCCUGGAAUCCGUGGGAGGAAAAGUGUAUUAGAAAUAUUUCAAAAAUUCUAAAUAAAUAAAUAAAUUUUGAAUAAAGGCUUUCUCUUUCCUUCAGCUUGGUUAUGGUUCAUUCAGCCCUGUUGAGAGAGAGAUGCUUCCUUCCUUCUUCCGAAUCGAUCCCAACGAAGUGCCGCAGUACGUCGGG